CGCGGUAACACCGGCCGCACAAGUGGUGACCGCUUUUAUUGGGCCUAAAGCGUCCGUAGCCGGUUUAGUAAGUCUUUGGGUAAAUCCUUCGGCUUAACCGAAGGACUUCCGAAGAUACUGCUAAACUUGGAGUUGAGAGAAGUCAGAGGUACCUCUGGGGUAGGGGUGAAAUCCUAUAAUCCUGGGGGGACCACCAGUGGCGAAGGCGUCUGACUAGCGUAAGCUCGACGGUGAGGGACGAAAGCCUGGGUCGCGAACGGGAUUAGAUACCCCGGUAGUCCUGGCUGUAAACGCUGCGCGCUAGGUGUUGCACGCUCUACGAGGGCUUGCAGUGCCGAAGAGAAGUUGAUAAGCGUGCCGCCUGGGAAGUAUUACCGCAAGGUAGAAACUUAAAGGAAUUGGCGGGGGAGCACCACAAGGGGUGGAGUCUGCGGUUCAAUUGGAUUCAACGCCGGGAAACUCACCGGGGGCGACGGCAGUAUGAUAGCCAAGCUGAUGACUUUGCUUGACGAGCCGAGAGGAGGUGCAUGGCCGUCGUCAGCUCGUACUGUGAAGCGUCCUGUUAAGUCAGGCAACGAGCGAGACCCGUGCCCUUAGUUGCUAGUUUAUCCCUUCGGGAUAAGUGCACUCUAGGGGGACCGCCAGUGAUAAACUGGAGGAAGGUGCGGGCGACGGUAGGUCAGUAUGCCCCGAAUCCCCCGGGCUACACGCGGACUACAAUGGAUGGUACAAUGGGCUUCGACUCCGAGAGGAGAAGGAAAUCUCUAAAGCCGUCCCUAGUUCAGAUUGUGGGUUGCAACCCACCCACAUGAAGCCGGAAUCCCUAGUAAUCGCGUGUCAUCAUCGCGCGGUGAAUAUGUCCCUGCUCCUUGCACACACCGCCCGUCAAGCCACCCGAGUGGAGCCUGGUCGAGGCUAUAUCCUUUGGGCAUAUUCG
Molecule: ribosomal RNA, 937 nt
Filed under: uncultured marine benthic group E euryarchaeote
Lineage: Archaea; Methanobacteriati; Candidatus Hydrothermarchaeota
Description: bacterial SSU rRNA
Rfam family: Archaeal small subunit ribosomal RNA
Source: RNAcentral